This 497-nucleotide ribosomal RNA is filed under the name uncultured bacterium. RNAcentral describes it as "partial 16S ribosomal RNA". It matches the Rfam family "Bacterial small subunit ribosomal RNA", at positions 28 to 507 of the family's 1533-position model. The record is from RNAcentral.
GAUGAACGCUGGCGGCGUGCCUAAUACAUGCAAGUCGAGCGAACGGACGAGAAGCUUGCUUCUCUGAUGUUAGCGGCGGACGGGUGAGUAACACGUGGAUAACCUACCUAUAAGACUGGGAUAACUUCGGGAAACCGGAGCUAAUACCGGAUAAUAUUUUGAACCGCAUGGUUCAAAAGUGAAAGACGGUCUUGCUGUCACUUAUAGAUGGAUCAGCGCUGCAUUAGCUAGUUGGUAAGGUAACGGCUUACCAAGGCAACGAUGCAUAGCCGACCUGAGAGGGUGAUCGGCCACACUGGAACUGAGACACGGUCCAGACUCCUACGGGAGGCAGCAGUAGGGAAUCUUCCGCAAAGGGCGAAAGCCUGACGGAGCAACGCCGCGUGAGUGAUGAAGGUCUUCGGAUCGUAAAACUCUGUUAUUAGGGAAGAACAUAUGUGUAAGUAACUGUGCACAUCUUGACGGUACCUAAUCAGAAAGCCACGGCUAACUACGUG